GACGAACGCUGGCGGCGUGCUUAACACAUGCAAGUCGAACGGAAAGGCCUUGCGUUUGUAGGGUGCUCGAGUGGCGAACGGGUGCGUAAUACGUGAGUAACCUGUCCUUGACUUCGGGAUAACUUCAGGACACCGGGGCUAAUACCCGUUCGGCGCUCCUGCUGCAUGGUGGUGGGUGGAAAGUUUCGGCGGUUGGGGAUGGACUCGCGGCUUAUCAGCUUGUUGGUGGGGUCGUGGCUUACCAAGGCUUUGACGGGUAGCCGGCCUGAGAGGGUGACCGGCCACAUUGGGACUGAGAUACGGCCCAGACUCCUACGGGAGGCAGCAGUGGGGAAUAUUGCACAAUGGGCGGAAGCCUGAUGCAGCAACGCCGCGUGCGGGAUGACGGCCUUCGGGUUGUAAACCGCUUUCGCCUGUGACGAAGCGUGAGUGACGGUAAUGGGUAAAGAAGCACCGGCUAACUACGUG
Molecule: ribosomal RNA, 468 nt
Filed under: uncultured bacterium
Lineage: Bacteria
Description: partial 16S ribosomal RNA
Rfam family: Bacterial small subunit ribosomal RNA
Source: RNAcentral